GACGUAGGGCGCGAGCGUUGUCCGGAUUUAUUGGGCGUAAAGAGCUCGUAGGCGGCUUGUCGCGUCGACUGUGAAAACCCGCGGCUCAACUGCGGGCCUGCAGCCGAUACGGGCAGGCUAGAGUUCGGUAGGGGAGACUGGAAUUCCUGGUGUAGCGGUGAAAUGCGCAGAUAUCAGGAGGAACACCGGUGGCGAGGGCGGCUCACUGGACCGGUUCUGACGCUGAGGCGCGAAAGCGUGGGGAGCAAACGGG
This 253-nucleotide ribosomal RNA is filed under the name uncultured bacterium. RNAcentral's name for it is "partial 16S ribosomal RNA". It matches the Rfam family "Bacterial small subunit ribosomal RNA", at positions 524 to 776 of the family's 1533-position model. The record is from RNAcentral.